GCCACAAGUCCGCAGGCUUUGCUGCGCUCCUGCUCUUGGCGUGUCCCUUCGCAGCUGUGCUAUGGCCCUGCUCCCAGAGCUCAGACUCCUGGGUCGAGCCGUCUAAGGUCACCUUUGAACGCCUUCUGAGGCACGUUUCCCCCUUGGAACAAGGUGGCGCAAAGUCUGUUGGAAAAACAGCAAGCUGAGGUCUGAAGUUGUUUCGGUGUUUAUUGAAUGCCUACUGGGUGCCAACACUGUUCCUGGCGCUAAGGACAGAUGAGAAAAAUGAGGCCCAGAAGAAGUAGUAGGAUAGGUCUUUUAACCCAGUUGAUGGGUUUCCAGAAUCCGGAACUUCACAGCAACCUUGAUCAUCCCUGUCCCCAACAUCAGAGUUUCCAAAGGGAUUGGACCUAGAGGUGCUUCACAACUGAGCCACAUCUCAAGCCCUAUUUUUAUUUUUUAUUUAGAGACAGAGUCUCACGAAGUUGCUUAGAGCUUUGAACCUGUGAUCCUCCUGCCUCAGCCUUCCAAGCCACUGAGAUUAUAGGUGUGCACCACUGUGCCUGGCAAAAUUAAAAAAAAAAAAAAAUUUAAUUAAAUAAAUCUUGAAG
Long non-coding RNA from Marmota monax (woodchuck), 593 nucleotides. RefSeq lists it as uncharacterized. The transcript is spliced from 3 exons. NCBI's taxonomy places the organism in Eukaryota, Metazoa, Chordata, Mammalia, Rodentia, Sciuridae. The record is from RefSeq and is a predicted model, not a curated record.